Mangifera indica (mango) is the source of this 1047-nucleotide long non-coding RNA. RefSeq lists it as uncharacterized. Lineage: Eukaryota; Viridiplantae; Streptophyta; Magnoliopsida; Sapindales; Anacardiaceae. The record is from RefSeq and is a predicted model, not a curated record. The transcript has 2 exons.
AGUCUGCUGAGGCAGUGAGUAUUUCGUAGGUCGAGACAAAACGAAAACAUUUUCAAAUAGGAAACCCUUCGAGGGACUGAGAAAACCAACGCAGCACUUUUGCCGCCGCUGUUAUCACCCCUACUAGAUUGAUCAAAAUGAUAGGUUAUGUUUCAGUUUAUUAUGGAGGAAAAUGGAUCGAAAAUGAUCAGAACAUAAUGGAAUACGUUGGAGGUGAUAGAAAAGUGGUCAAAAUUUCAAAGAAAAUGACACUUAAGGGAUUACUCCAAUUGUUAAGUGAAAAAUGUCAUAUCGAUCGGACCUUGAAUAACAUUCAACUAUGCAUGCAACCAAAAUGGAUCAACAUCAAAUGCCCUGCCAAAAUCAAAAAUGAUGAAGAUGUUAAGUCUCUUAUUGACUUGUCUAUCCACUCCGAGGAAUGUGUUUCAGUUUUUGUCACAAACCCUUUACGCGGUGGUGGCAAUUAUGUUGGACCAUUUGUUAACAAUGUCCCAAUUGAUCCAUUUAAGUGGUUACCUGAUUUUCCUCCUCAGCCAUCAACAUCAACAUCAACUAAUUCAAGAUUUGUGACAGUGGGAAAUUUUUUAAAAAUUGGCGACAUAUUCAGAGAUAAAAAACAUUUGAAAGAUGCAAUGCGUCAAUUUGCGCUUGAGAUAUGAUUCAAGUAUAAAGUGUAUAAGUCAGACAAGGGGAGAUGGGAGGUUAUGUGCGUAGAUAAGCAAUGCCCAUGGCGUGCACGGUCAACAAGGAUGGUACCCAGUGAGUUAUUCAGGCUUCGUUAUAUACAUCCUACGCACACAUGUUUAAAAGAUCAAAUAAAACCAUAGUAUAGGCAUGUUUAAAAGAUCAAUGAAACCCAAAACUGAUGCCUAGUUUCAUACAAUCUAGUUCAUCGAAAAGGGAUAAAUGCGGGAGAUCAUGACACUCUUUACUGCAAUUGCAAACAUCCUUCUAUUUAGUAUUAUUUAUGUUAAUUUAUAACUUGUCAAUGUACUUAUUAAAAUGAGAUAUUGUAAUAUUAAUGUUAAUGUUGAUUUCAUUCAUAUA